ACGUAAGUCCAAAGAUUUAUCGCCGAGGGAUGAGCCCGCGUAGGAUUAGGUAGUUGGUGUGGUAAAGGCGCACCAAGCCGACGAUCCUUAGCUGGUCUGAGAGGAUGAUCAGCCACACUGGGACUGAGACACGGCCCAGACUCCUACGGGAGGCAGCAGUGGGGAAUAUUGGACAAUGGGCGAAAGCCUGAUCCAGCAAUGCCGCGUGAGUGAUGAAGGCCUUAGGGUUGUAAAGCUCUUUUACCCGGGAUGAUAAUGACAGUACCGGGAGAAUAAGCUCCGGCUAACUCCGUGCCAGCAGCCGCGGUAAUACGGAGGGAGCUAGCGUUAUUCGGAAUUACUGGGCGUAAAGCGCACGUAGGCGGCUUUGUAAGUAAGAGGUGAAAGCCCAGAGCUCAACUCUGGAAUUGCCUUUUAGACUGCAUCGCUUGAAUCAUGGAGAGGUCAGUGGAAUUCCGAGUGUAGAGGUGAAAUUCGUAGAUAUUCGGAAGAACACCAGUGGCGAAGGCGGCUGACUGGACAUGUAUUGACGCUGAGGUGC
This 541-nucleotide ribosomal RNA is filed under the name Sphingomonas sp. 4PE5.5. RNAcentral describes it as "bacterial SSU rRNA". It matches the Rfam family "Bacterial small subunit ribosomal RNA", at positions 193 to 754 of the family's 1533-position model. The record is from RNAcentral. Lineage: Bacteria; Pseudomonadati; Pseudomonadota; Alphaproteobacteria; Sphingomonadales; Sphingomonadaceae.